GUUCUUAUUCGCUGACAUUUGUUUUCUAAUUGCUUGAAAUUUGGUAAUUUCCUUAGUGUUUUCCUGGCCGACCUGUGCUGGUAUUGUAAUUAAGAGCUAAUACACCAUUCUCUGGUGAACUGCAGCUGCGGCCGAAUUUGAUUGUGUGCAUCAUCCUGCAGAUAUUUUGAAGUAAGUUGGAACCAGCUCUUUGUUAUUUCAAAACCUAA
Long non-coding RNA from Rhagoletis pomonella (apple maggot), 209 nucleotides. RefSeq lists it as uncharacterized. The transcript has 3 exons. The record is from RefSeq and is a predicted model, not a curated record. Lineage: Eukaryota; Metazoa; Arthropoda; Insecta; Diptera; Tephritidae.